AUCAAGCUGGCCUAUUCGAUUUUAAAAUCUAUGAUUACAACACAAAUUAACCACAUUAUUAGUUGUGGACUUGUGGUCUUGUUUCAAAUUUCAAAUGUGUCUCUCCUAAUCGAUCUAAGCUAGGUAGAAUAACGAUUCAAAUUCUCUAAACAUCGAGUAUUUUGGGAUUUUAAUUAUAUUUCUAAGUAUGAAAAUAGUGGUAAAAAACUAAAAAUUGAAAAGAGUGAUACUAACACAUAUUUUAAAUAUUAAUUUUUGUUUUAUACGCAAUCAAUUUCAAAAUGUAUAUGCAAUUGGAUAUAUCCGGUGGCAUUCCAAUUAAUUAAGCAGUUAGUAUAGUGUAUGGAAAUAAAAUAGAAAAAUAUGCAAGUAAAAGUCAUCGGGCUUAGUCUAUGGGGAUAUAUUGGAACAAACUAUGAACGAGAUAUGUAUAAAGAGAGGAGUUAGGAGAAAUUAUUAUUGGCCCUUAUGGCAUCCAAGGGUCAUGAUAACUGAUUAGUCAAUCAGUUAAUUAGGAAUUGACAAAGAGUCAAUGAUGCCACUUUCCUACGCCAUAUCAUCAUAUUGCAGUUGCAAUGCAAAGCCUCUGGAUGAUGGCCCCCCAAAUUUUCAUAUACAUUCAGUUUAUUAGUCUUCUAAUUUUUUAUGAAAUUUUAUUUU
This is a non-coding RNA of Arachis ipaensis, 660 nucleotides long. Lineage: Eukaryota; Viridiplantae; Streptophyta; Magnoliopsida; Fabales; Fabaceae. The record is from RefSeq and is a predicted model, not a curated record.